GGUAAAAUGGCUGAUUAAAGGUAGUAAACUGUAAAUUUACUUAUGGGAUGUAAUAUCUCUUUUACCA
This 67-nucleotide transfer RNA is filed under the name Nepsalus caelestis. RNAcentral describes it as "tRNA-Tyr". The record is from RNAcentral. RNAcentral also lists the same sequence under 1 other name. Lineage: Eukaryota; Metazoa; Arthropoda; Insecta; Neuroptera; Myrmeleontidae.